This 69-nucleotide transfer RNA is filed under the name Solenopsis invicta (red fire ant). Its description in RNAcentral is "tRNA-Pro". Lineage: Eukaryota; Metazoa; Arthropoda; Insecta; Hymenoptera; Formicidae. The record is from RNAcentral. RNAcentral also lists the same sequence under 1 other name.
CAAAAAAUAGUUUAUAUAGAAUAUUAAUUUUGGAGAUUAAAGGUAUGAAAUUAAAAAUUAUUUUUUUGA